This 456-nucleotide long non-coding RNA is filed under the name Lathyrus oleraceus (garden pea). RNAcentral's name for it is "Pisum sativum (pea) long non-coding RNA (PSAT_LNC029519)". The record is from RNAcentral. Lineage: Eukaryota; Viridiplantae; Streptophyta; Magnoliopsida; Fabales; Fabaceae.
GAUCGGUAUUGUUUUAACACCGUAAGUCUCCUGCAUAUGGAAAUUGAGUUGAAUUUUUAUUAUGUUUUAGCCGUACAUUCGCAUUCUCUGACAGCUCUUGAGUAGUUUAUUUUAGCAGUCAGCACCGUCUCACACACACUCUACGCAGGGAAGCCGGUGAAUAUAAGUGAGUGUUCCGAAAAAGAAAAAAAAAGAGAAAGAAAAGGGGAUGCACCUUCUAAGUUUGGUGACCCUCACCCAGUCACUUAACCCAAUGGAUGUAGAACCUUCAAAAAAAUAAUUGAAAAUAAGACUAGUUGUCAGUUGGUUCAGCGGUUUCUGGUACUGAACUUGGUAGGGCAGAUUACGGUCUGAUCCCCCGCAACUACAACUGAAUAAACAAAGGGUUAUGCCACGUAAGUACUAGAAUCCCGUGUAAAAAGGAUCAGAGCCACUAACCGGUCGCCUUGCUAUGAG